This 429-nucleotide ribosomal RNA is filed under the name bacterium. RNAcentral's name for it is "partial 16S ribosomal RNA". It matches the Rfam family "Bacterial small subunit ribosomal RNA", at positions 355 to 776 of the family's 1533-position model. The record is from RNAcentral.
UAGGGAAUCUUCCACAAUGGACGCCAGUCUGAUGGAGCAACGCCGCGUGAGUGAAGAAGGUUUUCGGAUCGUAAAGCUCUGUUGUUGGUGAAGAAGGAUAGAGGUAGUAACUGGCCUUUAUUUUACGGUAAUCAACCAGAAAGUCACGGCUAACUACGUGCCAGCAGCCGCGGUAAUACGUAGGUGGCAAGCGUUGUCCGGAUUUAUUGGGCGUAAAGCGAGCGCAGGCGGAAGAAUAAGUCUGAUGUGAAAGCCCUCGGCUUAACCGAGGAACUGCAUCGGAAACUGUUUUUCUUGAGUGCAGAAGAGGAGAGUGGAACUCCAUGUGUAGCGGUGGAAUGCGUAGAUAUAUGGAAGAACACCAGUGGCGAAGGGGACUCUCUGGUCUGCAACUGACGCUGAGGCUCGAAAGCAUGGGUAGCGAACAGG